RNAcentral lists this ribosomal RNA (553 nucleotides) under uncultured bacterium. RNAcentral's name for it is "partial 16S ribosomal RNA". It matches the Rfam family "Bacterial small subunit ribosomal RNA", at positions 355 to 898 of the family's 1533-position model. The record is from RNAcentral.
UAGGGAAUCUUCCACAAUGGACGCAAGUCUGAUGGAGCAACGCCGCGUGAGUGAAGAAGGUUUUCGGAUCGUAAAGCUCUGUUGUUGGUGAAGAAGGAUAGAGGCAGUAACUGGUCUUUAUUUGACGGUAAUCAACCAGAAAGUCACGGCUAACUACGUGCCAGCAGCCGCGGUAAUACGUAGGUGGCAAGCGUUGUCCGGAUUUAUUGGGCGUAAAGCGAGCGCAGGCGGAAUGAUAAGUCUGAUGUGAAAGCCCACGGCUCAACCGUGGAACUGCAUCGGAAACUGUCAUUCUUGAGUGCAGAAGAGGAGAGUGGAACUCCAUGUGUAGCGGUGGAAUGCGUAGAUAUAUGGAAGAACACCAGUGGCGAAGGCGGCUCUCUGGUCUGCAACUGACGCUGAGGCUCGAAAGCAUGGGUAGCGAACAGGAUUAGAUACCCUGGUAGUCCAUGUCGUAAACGAUGAGCGCUAGGUGUUGGGGGACUUUCCGGUUCUCAGUGCCGCAGCAAACGCAUUAAGCGCUCCGCCUGGGGAGUACGACCGCAAGGUUGAA